RNAcentral lists this ribosomal RNA (814 nucleotides) under uncultured bacterium. RNAcentral describes it as "bacterial SSU rRNA". It matches the Rfam family "Bacterial small subunit ribosomal RNA", at positions 60 to 834 of the family's 1533-position model. The record is from RNAcentral.
AGUCGAGCGAGUCUGCCUUGAAGAUCGGAGUGCUUGCACUCUGUGAAACAAGAUACAGGCUAGCGGCGGACGGGUGAGUAACACGUGGGUAACCUGCCCAAGAGAUCGGGAUAACACCUGGAAACAGAUGCUAAUACCGGAUAACAACAGAUGAUGCCUAUCAACUGUUUAAAAGAUGGUUCUGCUAUCACUCUUGGAUGGACCUGCGGUGCAUUAGCUAGUUGGUAGGGUAACGGCCUACCAAGGCGAUGAUGCAUAGCCGAGUUGAGAGACUGAUCGGCCACAUUGGGACUGAGACACGGCCCAAACUCCUACGGGAGGCAGCAGUAGGGAAUCUUCCACAAUGGACGCAAGUCUGAUGGAGCAACGCCGCGUGAGUGAAGAAGGGUUUCGGCUCGUAAAGCUCUGUUGUUGGUGAAGAAGGACAGGGGUAGUAACUGACCUUUGUUUGACGGUAAUCAAUUAGAAAGUCACGGCUAACUACGUGCCAGCAGCCGCGGUAAUACGUAGGUGGCAAGCGUUGUCCGGAUUUAUUGGGCGUAAAGCGAGUGCAGGCGGCUCGAUAAGUCUGAUGUGAAAGCCUUCGGCUCAACCGGAGAAUUGCAUCAGAAACUGUCGAGCUUGAGUACAGAAGAGGAGAGUGGAACUCCAUGUGUAGCGGUGAAAUGCGUAGAUAUAUGGAAGAACACCGGUGGCGAAGGCGGCUCUCUGGUCUGUUACUGACGCUGAGGCUCGAAAGCAUGGGUAGCGAACAGGAUUAGAUACCCUGGUAGUCCAUGCCGUAAACGAUGAGUGCUAAGUGUUGGGAGGUUUC